AAAUGCGUGAAAUGAACACGACCUCUUAACCACAAAUUACGUGGUGGUGGCACGGAUUGUGUUGAAAUUGCGUGUCGGCAGCACGGAAACAAGACCCAUACAAAGUCAAUGAGGCUAUUUUGUCGUGUGGGUGACACGGAUUCCCUGGUUUAAUAACGUCACACAGUGGGCGGCGGUAAAAGCUAUUACGUUGGUCCUUAACUUAAUAUAAGCAGUGCUAUACGUUGGUCCUGAACAUAAAAUAAAUAUAGCCAAUUUAUUGCAGCGCUAUUACAUUUGUCAUGAGCAUAAUACAUUCAAAGCAUAGAUUAAAUCGUACUAUACCAUACGAUUUUGCAGAAACGCUCGGGAAUUCAGGUGCUGUAAAUCCGGUGGACAGGACUCAUCUCGUUAUAGAUCAAGAUAAUUUAUAAAGAUCUUUAAGGGUCGGAAUAUCAGAUAGUUGACAUAGUUCAUAUUUUUAAUUAAAAAAGUAAAAACGAAAUAAGAGGAAUAGCAUACAUUAUUGUUGUUGCGGUGUGUCACGUGACAAUCAUGACCCGUCGCCAUGGACACAAGGGGUCGGAUAUUUAAAGUUAAAUAUUUUUAACUUACGCGUGAAAUGGUUAAUUUUAAAUAUAUAUAUAUUCUAAGUAAACAACAACAGCCCAAGUUUAGUAAACAUUUUUUUUAUUGAAACUAUAAAUAAAUAUUCUGCAUCCAUUAGGUGUGCCACUGUGGGUGGCUCUUGCACACCCGUGGCUACGCCCCUGCCGUGACCCAAAUCUCGUUCGCACAUCAUCGCGAUGUUUAUCAUCAAUUUACAAACCUCGCCAGUCGCCACAUCUUUUUUCUUCACAUACAUCUCAUACUCCUCCAUCUACACUCUUCACAACAUUUAAACCAACGGCUCUUUUAACAGCCAUCACUUGCAAAAGCUCUCCUACUCACUCACUCACUCACUCACUCUCCAACUCACUCAAGGUGCGUUCCAUUCGACCGUAAGUCGACCAUCGACCAUCAAGAGAUUAGCCUAUCCCCUGUAUGUCAUUGAUGCACUACUUCAAAGAUGUGAGAAAAAGAACAUACACCUGCGAGUAGUCUGUUACAUUGACUGUGUUGCUGCCUCACAUUUGCAGAAAUCAGGGGAGGGCAUAUCACACAACAUUGCCUUGGCCGUACCAGCAUUUCAUGUUUAUGGACACAAAUUGCCCUGCCAGAUCAAGUACAGUACCAGAUGGCUUGAUGGGUUUGGGCUCACAGACGGGGAAGGAAUGGAAAGGCUGUGGUCUUUCCUCCAAAGAUUUGCCAGAGUCACAAAGGAGAUGACUCCAUCUCAUCGCCUUGACCUACUGACUGAUGCCCUUUUGCAUUAUGGACGGAGGAAAUCAACUGACCUAGAGGUGCAGCUCCUGCAAAGAGUAGACAAAGCAGAGAAAAUAUUGCUCAAGAAGAUAUCUCAUCAGAUAGG
Paramisgurnus dabryanus is the source of this 1450-nucleotide non-coding RNA. NCBI's taxonomy places the organism in Eukaryota, Metazoa, Chordata, Actinopteri, Cypriniformes, Cobitidae. The record is from RefSeq and is a predicted model, not a curated record.